CCUACGUGGGGCAGCAGUAGGGAAUCUUCCACAAUGGGCGAAAGCCUGAUGGAGCAACGCCGCGUGGGUGAAGAAGGUCUUCGGAUCGUAAAACCCUGUUGUUAGAGAAGAAAGUGCGUGAGAGUAACUGUUCACGUUUCGACGGUAUCUAACCAGAAAGCCACGGCUAACUAAGUGCCAGCAGCCGCGGUAAUACGUAGGUGGCAAGCGUUAUCCGGCUUUAUUGGGCGUAAAGGGAACGCAGGCGGUCUUUUAAGUCUGAUGUGAAAGCCUUCGGCUUAACCGGAGUAGUGCAUUGGAGACUGGGAGACUUGAGUGCAGAAGAGGAGAGUGGAACUACAGGUGUAGCGGUGAAAGGCGUAGAUAUAUGGAAGAACACCAGUGGCGAAAGCGGCUCUCUGGUCUGUAACUGACGCUGAGGUUCGAAAGCGUGGGUAGCAAACAGGAUUAGAUACCCCAGUAGUC
RNAcentral lists this ribosomal RNA (465 nucleotides) under uncultured bacterium. Its description in RNAcentral is "partial 16S ribosomal RNA". It matches the Rfam family "Bacterial small subunit ribosomal RNA", at positions 338 to 795 of the family's 1533-position model. The record is from RNAcentral.